This is a long non-coding RNA of Daphnia magna, 1272 nucleotides long. RefSeq lists it as uncharacterized. The transcript has 2 exons. The record is from RefSeq and is a predicted model, not a curated record. NCBI's taxonomy places the organism in Eukaryota, Metazoa, Arthropoda, Branchiopoda, Diplostraca, Daphniidae.
UGGAAGCGUCUGUUAAUUGUUAGUCGUCACUUGCGUCAACUACGUCAUAACAGAAAUAUUUUCAUUGCUGCACACCACACCGAAUCAAUCCAUCACAGAAGGAAAGGUACAAGUAGGUUAAUCAGUCGCCGUGGUUUUUACCAAAGGCAUACGAUUAAUUUGACAUUGUGUGCAUGCAGGUAUUUUAAUUUGUGUAGUGAUUGGAAGACUUGUGCUCAUAUCUUCUCUUACAAGGCUGUGGCAAAAAAAUUAUUCGAAAAUCUAUAUAUACAGUACCUACCAACGAAAUUGGUACACUGUACCAAUUUCGUCCGCUUUUAACACGGCGUCUUAUGGCGCUACGUGUCACUUGUUUUUAUUUAAUAUUAAAAAAACUAUUUGUUUUUUUAUUAAACUUUUUUUAGGGUAGGGUGAUGACCAGAUUAGUUACAGAAUGUGGGGGUCGGCUUUAUGAUAUUUUUAUUUCCCUAACCCCUGUACAUGGGAGCAGGUGUACCAAUUUCGCCGAGCGAAAUUUUUUGCGUUCUCCGUGUAUUCCUUAUGGCGCUACGAAAAAAAGGGCCCUUUUUUCUAAAAUUUUUUAAAAAUCACCCUUUGAAGUUCCAACCCUCUAGUUUUUACCAAUAAGUAUAAGAAAACCCUAACUAUAGUAUCAUUAAUCAAAUUUAUUAUUUCUUAAAAUAUAUAUCUGCUAAAUAUUAGAAUGAAAAAUGGGUGUGGGAAUUUUUAUCCAUAAAAAGCUUAGUCACUUGCAUAGCCACCAGAGGUUCUGCUUGUUGUCUAGGCUUUUAAGUAUUUUUAAAAUCGAUUAUUUAAUCGAUUUUAUUUGUUUCUGUUUACAUCAACACUUGUUCAUUUUUAUUAUUGAAUAACAAUUACAAAUGACUGUGUAUUUCAAUAAUUCAAAGGAAAUGAUUUUAUAUCAUGGUAAGUUUUGUUGUUACUGUUAUUGUCCAAAAUAUUUUAAUAUUUAUAUCCUUUUUUUCAUUUCAUGGUCAAACUCAUGUGAGUUGAUUGAUUGGAAAGUUAAGUCACAUUCAUUAUUAUUGGACAACACCAAUAUUAUCAUCAGAAGUGGUCAGGUGUCACAAGUCGACAAAAAAUUUCUUAGCUAUACAUUCAACUUUCAAUUUCUCUACCAGAUACUAUAAUUAUUUUACUUCUCAAUAUUACCUUAUUGUUUACAUUAAUUUAAAUUUCUAAUACAAAUUAUAUCAUACCAAACAAAAGACUGUAUUUUCAAAGAGACUAAUACAGCUAUUACAGUUUAAA